Molecule: ribosomal RNA, 376 nt
Filed under: uncultured bacterium
Lineage: Bacteria
Description: bacterial SSU rRNA
Rfam family: Bacterial small subunit ribosomal RNA
Source: RNAcentral
UACGUAGGGUGCGAGCGUUAAUCGGAAUUACUGGGCGUAAAGCGUGCGCAGGCGGUUUAGUAAGACAGGCGUGAAAUCCCCGGGCUCAACCUGGGAACUGCGCUUGUGACUGCUAAGCUAGAGUACGGCAGAGGGGGGUGGAAUUCCACGUGUAGCAGUGAAAUGCGUAGAGAUGUGGAGGAACACCGAUGGCGAAGGCAGCCCCCUGGGCCGAUACUGACGCUCAUGCACGAAAGCGUGGGUAGCAAACAGGAUUAGAUACCCUGGUAGUCCACGCCCUAAACGAUGUCAACUAGGUGUUGGGAGGGUAAAACCUUUUAGUACCGGAGCUAACGCGUGAAGUUGACCGCCUGGGGAGUACGGCCGCAAGGUUAAA